This 805-nucleotide ribosomal RNA is filed under the name uncultured bacterium. RNAcentral describes it as "bacterial SSU rRNA". It matches the Rfam family "Bacterial small subunit ribosomal RNA", at positions 8 to 803 of the family's 1533-position model. The record is from RNAcentral.
AGAGUUUGAUUUUGGCUCAGAACGAACGCUGGCGGCGCGUUUUAAGCAUGCAAGUCGAGCGGUAAGGGUACUUCGGUACCCCUAGAGCGGCGGACGGGUGAGUAACACGUGGAUAACCUGCCCCCGGGUGCGGGAUAGCCCAGGGAAACCUGGAUUAAUACCUCGUAAGACCACGCUCUGUAGGGAGAGUGGGAAAAGGCGCUUCGGCGUCGCCUGGGGAUGGGUCCGCGUCCCAUUAGCUAGAUGGUAGGGUAAGAGCCUACCAUGGCGACGAUGGGUAGCCGGCCUGAGAGGGUGAACGGCCACACUGGAACUGAGACACGGUCCAGACUCCUACGGGAGGCAGCAGCUAAGAAUCUUCCGCAAUGGGCGCAAGCCUGACGGAGCGACGCCGCGUGGGCGAGGAAGGCCGCAAGGUUGUAAAGUCCUUUUCGGGAAGGGGAAUAAGAGUGAUAGGCAAUGAUCACUUGAUGACAUGAAUCCCGGAAUAAGCCCCGGCUAACUACGUGCCAGCAGCCGCGGUAACACGUAGGGGGCGAGCGUUGUUCGGAAUCAUUGGGCGUAAAGGGCGCGCAGGCGGCGUGUAAAGUCUGGCGUGGAAGUCCCCGGCUCAACUGGGGGAUUGCGUUGGAAACUGGCACGCUUGAGUACGACAGGGGAUGGCGGAAUUCCAGGUGUAGGGGUGAAAUCUGUAGAUAUCUGGAGGAACACCAAUGGCGAAGGCAGCCAUCUGGAUCAGUACUGACGCUGAGGCGCGAAGGUGCGGGGAGCAAACAGGUUUAGAUACCCUGGUAGUCCGCACAGU